AUUACUCACGUUGAUCGAGUGAUCGAGUGUACUUCCGAAGACAAUCCGCGUCCGAGUGUUUUGACAAGCGGCGACCGCGGUUCCACAGGAGCGGAAGCUUGAGCCUUUUGACGAGCGACUGUGAAGAGUGCCAAUGCCAAACUUGGGAACCGUCGUGUUGGCACAGCGAGGAUGAUCAACAGAUACCCGAUAGGCAGCGAUGAGAGCUGUUCAUGGCACCGACACAGAGG
Rhipicephalus sanguineus (brown dog tick) is the source of this 230-nucleotide long non-coding RNA. RefSeq lists it as uncharacterized. The transcript is spliced from 3 exons. NCBI's taxonomy places the organism in Eukaryota, Metazoa, Arthropoda, Arachnida, Ixodida, Ixodidae. The record is from RefSeq and is a predicted model, not a curated record.